This 405-nucleotide ribosomal RNA is filed under the name uncultured bacterium. RNAcentral's name for it is "partial 16S ribosomal RNA". It matches the Rfam family "Bacterial small subunit ribosomal RNA", at positions 28 to 526 of the family's 1533-position model. The record is from RNAcentral.
GAUGAACGCUGGCGGCGGGCCUAAUACAUGCAAGUCGAGCGAAGAGGGGGGGGGGGAGUAACACGUCGAUAACCUGCUAUAAGACUGGGGUAACUUCGGGAAACCGGAACCAAACCGGAAAAUUAUAGAUGGAGGGACGCGGCAUUAGGUAGUUGGUAAGGUAACGGCGUACCAAGGCAACGAUGCAUAGGCGACCUGAGAGGGUGACCGGCCACACUGGAACUGAGACACGGUCCAGACUCCUACGGGAGGCAGCAGUAGUGAAUCUUCCGCAAUGGGCGAAAGCCUGACGGAGCCACGCCGCGUGUGUGACGAAGGUCUUCGGAUCGUAAAUCUCUUUUAGUAGGGAAGCGGUACCCAAUGAGAAAGCCCCGGCUAACUACGUGCCAGCCGCCGCGGUAAUUC